CCUGGCGUCACAAACACCUUUCGCCGAAUGGCACCACCCACGACCAAUCGGAGGGCUCGGGCGAGUUGAGCCGAUAUGGCCAGGAGUGUGGCAGUGGGCGGAGAGCUGAGGAGGGGGAGAAGACCAAGAAGAAUGCUAUAGAGAGGCGCGAGGCGAGGGCGGUGCGAAGGAAAGGCGGAGAAAGCCGGUGGAAACCGGUUAGAGAAAGUCGGCGAACUAGCCGUGCCCGGCCAGGCUCGCAGACGGGGUGGGACAAGGCGAAGGCUCGCUCCUAUUGGCCGGCCACUGCUGCUAUUCCUUCGACUCGGGUCCUUCUGUUGCGCUUCUGAAAGGCAUCCGGAAUUCUUCCGCGAAUCGCAGGAAUCUACUUGUGGGUGGUUGCUUUGAGAUGGUUCCAGAAGCGGUAUGCGUGACAGCCUUUUGCAACACAGUGCAGCUACAAGCCCACCUGUAAAGUAGCAUCACUUCGGGAUAUAGAUGAUAGAUCUUUGUAGCAUUCCUAUUCUUCACGUCGAGUGUUGCGUAUUUGGAGUGAGGUUCCCCUCAAGCUCAAGAUUGACAGGUUUCUUUAGCACCAAGCGGCUAAAUCCAGUGGUUUUUAUGGCGGCAACUGCUGGGUAUGGGGUCGGCUUGUUACUCACGAAGUAGAACUUCGAGACAUUCCCAGAUUUUAUUGUGGAGCAGGCAACAAUUUUAUUUUUAACGUGUGCUUACAGUAAAAAAUGUCAAUAAAGGUUUUCUCUUAUGCAGGCUGAGGAUAAGAGUCCUUGAGGAAAUGCAUCAGGAAAAGGAGCAAGGCUGCACCAGUUAGUCAAGCUUCCACAAUACUCACCAUUCAAUUAAGACUAGCAAGCUGUUAGCAAGAAAAACAACUGCAUAUUCAAAAGUACUUCAAAUCCAUAUAUACAGGCUACGUCUGGAGAAGAAGAUGCAUUUACAAACCUUGACAGGACUGAAAUUUCAGAUCCAGCUCAUACAAUUCAGUGGCAGCAAACUGAAAUAAUGCUUCAGAUGUGUGACAGUAAAUGCAGAUGCUCUUAUAGAAAGCAUGUGAGGCAUAUAAUUUGGAGUGGCUCUUAUAUGAGCCUUGCAGUUCAGUUUUCAUCAGAGACUGACAAGAGAGCCUAAACUGGUUGGGAGUUAGUUUGUGUUUUUAUUUAGCUAAACAAAAGAUAUCAUAAGCUCCCUCCAGUGCAAAUAAAGCACAAGUCAGAAUUUCUAACCCAUAGUAAACAAGUUGCUGUUUAGGGAACUUGCCACAAAUUCUAUAAUGGAAAUUCAUGUGUUGAGAAUGCUAUUAUUUUCCUGUAAACCACAGAAUCUUUUUUUUUUAAAGACACUUAUGUUUUCUUGCACAACAGUAAUUUAUGGAAUGAAUGAAUCACCUACCUU
Molecule: long non-coding RNA, 1392 nt
Organism: Crotalus tigris (Tiger rattlesnake)
Lineage: Eukaryota; Metazoa; Chordata; Lepidosauria; Squamata; Viperidae
Exons: 2
Source: RefSeq, a predicted model, not a curated record